RNAcentral lists this ribosomal RNA (473 nucleotides) under Bacillus sp. (in: firmicutes). Its description in RNAcentral is "bacterial SSU rRNA". It matches the Rfam family "Bacterial small subunit ribosomal RNA", at positions 39 to 496 of the family's 1533-position model. Lineage: Bacteria; Bacillati; Bacillota; Bacilli; Caryophanales; Bacillaceae. The record is from RNAcentral.
GACCGGGGUGCUAUACAUGCAGUCGAGCGGACAGAAGGGAGCUUGCUCCCGGAUGUUAGCGGCGGACGGGUGAGUAACACGUGGGUAACCUGCCUGUAAGACUGGGAUAACUCCGGGAAACCGGAGCUAAUACCGGAUAGUUCCUUGAACCGCAUGGUUCAAGGAUGAAAGACGGUUUCGGCUGUCACUUACAGAUGGACCCGCGGCGCAUUAGCUAGUUGGUGAGGUAACGGCUCACCAAGGCGACGAUGCGUAGCCGACCUGAGAGGGUGAUCGGCCACACUGGGACUGAGACACGGCCCAGACUCCUACGGGAGGCAGCAGUAGGGAAUCUUCCGCAAUGGACGAAAGUCUGACGGAGCAACGCCGCGUGAGUGAUGAAGGUUUUCGGAUCGUAAAGCUCUGUUGUUAGGGAAGAACAAGUGCAAUAGUAACUGCUUGCACCUUGACGGUACCUAACCCUAAAGUCACGG